Molecule: transfer RNA, 72 nt
Filed under: Streptomyces beijiangensis
Lineage: Bacteria; Bacillati; Actinomycetota; Actinomycetes; Kitasatosporales; Streptomycetaceae
Also listed under: 1 other name
Rfam family: tRNA
About the family: Transfer RNA (tRNA) molecules are approximately 80 nucleotides in length.
Source: Rfam by way of RNAcentral
GGCCGUGUGCCCGAGUGGUUGAGGGAUUCGCCUGCAAAGCGAAGCACACGGGUUCGAUUCCCGUCACGGCCU